This 450-nucleotide ribosomal RNA is filed under the name uncultured organism. RNAcentral describes it as "partial 16S ribosomal RNA". It matches the Rfam family "Bacterial small subunit ribosomal RNA", at positions 330 to 797 of the family's 1533-position model. The record is from RNAcentral.
CGUACACUCCUGCGGGAGGCAGCAGUGGGGAAUAUUGGACAAUGGGCGCAAGCCUGAUCCAGCCAUGCCGCGUGAGUGAUGAAGGCCCUAGGGUUGUAAAGCUCUUUCACCGGUGAAGAUAAUGACGGUAACCGGAGAAGAAGCCCCGGCUAACUUCGUGCCAGCAGCCGCGGUAAUACGAAGGGGGCUAGCGUUGUUCGGAUUUACUGGGCGUAAAGCGCACGUAGGCGGACUAUUAAGUCAGGGGUGAAAUCCCGGGGCUCAACCCCGGAACUGCCUUUGAUACUGGUAGUCUUGAGUUCGAGAGAGGUGAGUGGAAUUCCGAGUGCAGAGGUGAAAUUCGUAGAUAUUCGGAGGAACACCAGUGGCGAAGGCGGCUCACUGGCUCGAUACUGACGCUGAGGUGCGAAAGCGUGGGGAGCAAACAGGAUUAGAAACCCCAGUAGUCCC